GCCGAAGUGGUGAAAUUGGUAGACACGCUACCUUGAGGGGGUAGUGGGGAAACCCGUGCUGGUUCGAGUCCAGUCUUCGGUACCA
RNAcentral lists this transfer RNA (85 nucleotides) under Mariprofundus sp. RNAcentral's name for it is "tRNA-Leu". It matches the Rfam family "tRNA". Rfam says of the family: Transfer RNA (tRNA) molecules are approximately 80 nucleotides in length. Their secondary structure includes four short double-helical elements and three loops (D, anti-codon, and T loops). Lineage: Bacteria; Pseudomonadati; Pseudomonadota; Candidatius Mariprofundia; Mariprofundales; Mariprofundaceae. The record is from RNAcentral.